GACGAACGCUGGCGGCGUGCUUAACACAUGCAAGUCGAACGGAAAGGCCCUGCUUUUGUGGGGUGCUCGAGUGGCGAACGGGUGAGUAACACGUGAGUAACCUGCCCUUGACUUUGGGAUAACUUCAGGAAACUGGGGCUAAUACCGGAUAGGAGCUACUGCUGCAUGGUGGGGGUUGGAAAGUUUCGGCGGUUGGGGAUGGAUUCGCGGCUUAUCCGCUUGUUGGUGAGGUAGUGGCUUACCAAGGGUUUGACGGGUAGGCGGCAUGGGAGGGUGACCGGGCACAUUGCGACUGCGGGACGGCGCAGACGCGUACGGGCGGCAGUAGGGGGGAGCAUUGCAGAGUGGGGGCGAGCGUGAGGCAGCAACGUCGGGUGCGGAAUGCCGGGCUACUGGGGGAGAACAGCUUUCGCCUGUACCGAGGAGGGAGUGACGGUAAUGAGUAAGAAAGCACCGGCUAACUACGUG
RNAcentral lists this ribosomal RNA (468 nucleotides) under uncultured bacterium. RNAcentral's name for it is "partial 16S ribosomal RNA". It matches the Rfam family "Bacterial small subunit ribosomal RNA", at positions 28 to 507 of the family's 1533-position model. The record is from RNAcentral.